UGCUAUCAUGAGUAAAUGAGUCAGAAACCCUGUCAUGAGAUAACAAAAAUAAAACAUAAGGGAAUACUCAACAUAUGAUGACCCAACAUGAUAUACAAACUUAUACAUGUGACAUAUGAGCCUAUAAGACCGACAUGACCAUUUGUAAACUCAAAACAUAGACCGACAAGGUCAUACAAGUAUCUAUAUACCUAACAUCUGUCAACAAGCCUCUAAGAGUACAUAAAAUCAUAAAGGUUAGGACAGGGCCCCACCAUACCAAUCAAUACAUAUCCAAAGCAUACUGACCAAAUAGGAAACUGCGGAGCAAAUGGAGUUCACCAACACCUCCGCUAAGCUGAUAGCCUACUAGGAGGACUGUCAACCUAUCACUUGGGACCUGCGGGCAUGAAACGCAGCAUCCCCAGGCAAAAGGGACGUCAGUAUGAAUAAAGUACCGAGUAUGUAAGAUAGGAAAACGUAAAUAAGAACAGUAAUAUAAAGAGAGAUAAAGAAGAUACAAUCUGUAACAUAUGAGUGCCUCUGAGGGCUACUGACAUAAAAUGCAUGAUACAUAUAUAUACAUAAACUUUUGAAAAUAUAUGCCUCUGUGGGCGUCAUCAUCAUCAUAUCAUACCCGGCCUCAAAGAGGGCUCGGUAAAAACGUACCCGGCCAUCAUAAGGCUCGGUAGAAUCGUACCCGACCACGUAGAGCUCAGUAAACCCAACUGAUCAGUGGUUUCACAAUAGGUGUCGUACCCGGUCGACUAUAGCGCAACUCGGUAGAUUAAAGUAGAUACAUAUAUAAUACAUGCUGGACUCAUAGAAUCACAUUCUAAACCUUUCGGAGUGACGUAAGGUCAUUGCACAUUCGAUUAACAUUAUGGACAUCCCUACCAUCAAUAUGAACUUUAGUAGGAUUUAAAAAUCAUACACACUUUCUUAGAAUAACUUUAUAAGGAAAGAACAACAUGGACAACAUUGGUUUCUAGGAGUAGAUCCGUUAUGAAUUAGCGUACCGUUUAUGUUCGUUUCACUUUAGAUCAUGCCAAUAGAAAGAAGUAAGUGCCUUAACAUACCUUAACCAUGGUGAGUCCUUAAUACCUCCCAAGAACCUCUUCAAAAAAACUCAACUCAAUAUACCAUUGCAUAAGGAGCUUCAAAAUCAGUAUUGAAUAAAGGCUAAGUCUACAACUUAAACUUGUAGCUCUUUUAUAUAAAUUCGAGCAACAUCUCCCCUGUAACAAGAGCCUCCUACAAUACCAUAUACCAAAAAUAAUUACUAGAGAAAUCCAACAACACAUAAUUAUCAAUAACAAGAUACCAUAAAAUAACAAGAAGUCAUAACUAUUUUACGACGAGCGACAAGCUCCAAUUGGAAUCUGUAUACCCCAUAUCACCCCUUAUAGACUUUUUACUUUAACUUAAUAGUAUCAUUAAUAUGAUAAUGAAGUCAGUCAUCAAUAAUUCCAGCCUUAUACCAUAUAUCCAUAACAAAGAAAACGAUCCACAACUCCAAUUAUUCUUAACUAGCAACUUUAUUCACUAGUUCAUGUCUAGUUCAUCCAUUUAACUUAACCAAUUCAAAGAUAACCUUAAGCACCUGUAGGAACAUAAUAUAAUUUCCUCAUACAGUAGAUUCAAGUCAAAAUCCAUGUUAUAAUUAGCUUACAACAACCCAAUACACCCCAAUCAAUUCAUAUCCAAAACGACGACUAUAGUGGUGUCAAACACAAUGACUAAUUCAUGAUUUUGCCAUUAUGUGGUGUUUCUCCACAUCAUUUGUCCUCCAAAACUCCAUUUAAUAUCAACAAAAGAGACAGACCAAAAGCUACAUGAAAUAGCCCAAAAAAGUCCAAUUACAAGUCAAAUAACUCGCACUCACAGCUUCCGAUCACCGUCCCGUGAGUUCUAACUAUUAUAAAAUGAAUUAAUCAACCUUUCUUAAUAUUUAAGAGCUUAAAACCAGAAAUUAAAAAUUUUAUUAACUAUUAAAUAUCUUCCAAAACUCAAACUAUAAAGAAAAAGAGAGGUGAUAUAGCGUUACUUACAUCGCUGGGAUCAUUUUGAUGUUAUCGCUACUUGAUUUCGUGCUCGGGGUGAUAAUAUUAUUGGAAAUACUUGUGGGGAGCUUGAGGGUGAGUUUAGGGGUGCUAUUUGGUCGAGG
RNAcentral lists this long non-coding RNA (2146 nucleotides) under Nicotiana tabacum (common tobacco). Its description in RNAcentral is "long non-coding RNA (NTAB_LNC003780)". Lineage: Eukaryota; Viridiplantae; Streptophyta; Magnoliopsida; Solanales; Solanaceae. The record is from RNAcentral.